RNAcentral lists this long non-coding RNA (6722 nucleotides) under Sus scrofa (pig). Its description in RNAcentral is "lncRNA (ENSSSCG00005013102.1)". Lineage: Eukaryota; Metazoa; Chordata; Mammalia; Artiodactyla; Suidae. The record is from RNAcentral.
CAGCCACAGCCACAGCAAUGUGGGAUCCAAGCCACGUCUGUGACCUACACCACAGCCCACGGCAACGCUGGAUCCUCAACCCAUUGAGCGAGGCCAGGGAUCGAACCUGCCUCUUCAGGGUUACCAGUCAGGUUCAUUUCCACUGAGCCACGACAGGAACUCCCCCUCUGCUCAUUGACACCUCACUCGAGGCCCUUGGAACAUGCUUGUCCAUGUCCAUGAAGAAGAGUAUUGAACUUAGAAACCUGGGUUCAUCCUGGCACAGCCACUGGCUAUCUCUAUGACAUUGGGCACAUCCUCUAACUGCCUUGGGCUUCAGUGUCCUUACCUGGUAAGGACUCCUUACCAGGAGUCGUAAGGGUUACCUGACAGCGUACACAGAAAUCAACUUUGCCAAUGGAAAUACAAUCACAUUUCUCGCUUUCUGCUACCUUUCCUACUUGUCUCAGAGCUCUUGGAGGGAAGGACCGUGUCCUCAUCAUUUUUUUAUGCUACAAUUACUACUAUUGCAUUACCAUUCGCUCGUCAUCAUUAACAUAUUGCCAAUAAUAGUUAAUGUGUGUGGAGCAUGUAGAAUCAUGUCAGGCACCUUUCUAAGUACUCGAUAUGGAUUAAUUAAUUCUUCCAAUAACCCUAAGAGGUCCUGUAACCCUAAGAGGUCCUGUUAUUAGCCUACUUUAUGGAGAAAACUAUGUAUUUCUCAGAGCCUCCAAAGAAUGAGCCAAUGAAUGAAGGACUGAAUGAGACAGAAACUGCUAGCAACACCUACCAGGUGAUUAUUUUUCUCUCUUGCUUCUCUGCCCAAACUUGUCUUUCUUUUGAUCCCCUGAGGCAAAUGCAAAAUUAGGAAAAAGUCUUGCGUCAACUGAGACUGUGAAUGAUGAGUGGUCUCCUUGGGUCUUCAUUUAGGUCGGCUUCUCAUGAGGUGAGUGCCAGGAGGACACAGACUGUGCCUGUCUUGUUCUCUGCUGUUGCCACAGGGCCUGGAACAAUGUCUCGUGAUCAGUCCAUGUUCAUUGAAUAGGCAGUACUACGAGAUGCUCUACAACACGGCCGAUGAGCUCCUGAACCUGGUGGUGGACCAGGGCGUGAAGUACACGGAGCUGGAGUACAUCCACGCCCUGACCUUGCUGCACCGCAGCCAGACGGGGGUGGGAGACCAGACCACCCAGAACAUGCGGCUUCAGCGGCUCAAGGAGAUCAUCUGCGAGCAGGCGGCCAUCAAGCAAGCCACCAAGGAUAAGAAGAUAACUACAGUGUAACCGCCGCCCCGUGGAAGGGGGACAGGGGCACGGCUUGUUUUUGUCUCCUUAGUCAUACUCCUUUCUGGCUGUGUUAUUGGGUGUAGUCUGAGCUGACUUAGUUUUCUCGACACGGAUGCUCAAGUGGAGAGAAGGUAGAAGGAUUUUUUUUUUUUUUUUUCCGCUUUGGUUUUGGCUUUUCAUAUAAACUCUCAAGGGAAUUUGCAGUACAGAAUGUUGGGAUCGACCGUUUAUUGGAAUGCCGUCCAUUGCAAAGGGUCCGGGGGUGGGAUGGGAAGGAAGGUUGUAUGACAUUGGACUCAGAACAAGAUGCAUGCACGAUUACUAAUGCCCAGCCAUUUCGGAUAAGUAUAGAUUGUUGCCUAUGUAAACCUCUCAAUAGGGUUCUAUUACAUAAACAGUAGGGUUUUUAUGCUCUUGACCUUGUCCAUUGACAGUUCAGUGAAGCAAGUGCAUGUGCAUUGCUUUCUGUCACCAGGGCCCAUGGCUUCUCAGCUGGCGGUAGUUUUCAGCAAAUUUCCCCUUUGGGGCUGGGGGGAGGAAGUCCUCUUAUGUCAGACCUUGGGAGAGUCUUGUAUGCAGUAGCCUGGACACAGCUUAUGGAUUGGUUUGAUGCCUUUUUGUUUUUAUUUCUACUGUCUCAAAACUGAGAACCAGGAAAUGAAUGAUGAAAAUGCAAGAACAAAAGGUAAUUCAACCCUCUUCCUGAUUUUUUCCUCUACUCUCCAAGAGAAAAUGAUUGUUAGAGAAUUUUUAAUCUCACUGGAAAGAUUGUCUGGGUGUGACUGGUUCUUAAAUGCUCACCCUCCUUAUAAGCCCCAGGGUCUUUUUUUCUUUUUUUUUUCUUUUUGUCUGUUUCUUUCUUGCAUGUGUGUGUGUACUUUUUUUUUUUUAACAUAUUUGUUGAAUUAACAUAUAGUUGAUUUACAGUGUUGUACCAAUUUCACCCAAGGUCUUUCUCACCUUAGAAGGUACCCAAACUGGGUGCAGGGAAGGUAAAACCACCACGAUAUCCUUCCUCUGUGCAGCCACCAGCUGAGGAUGUUUCUGAGGUAUACUGGGCUGGCGUGGGAGCACGCUGCUCCUGGCACAUUUGCCUUCCCCACUGACCCCACAUCUCCAAGCCUUCUUGCUGCCUCUGGCUGUCAUAUCACAGAAGAAAGCAAUGCACUGACUGGGACACAGCUUGCAAACACAGGCAAGGGAGAGCUGAAAGGACUCGGACCAGAUGAGGUCAUGCCUCAUGCUCUGAUGGUCCAGAAUUUCGCACCUGUUUGUUCAACUUAGGUCUUGGUGGGAAAAGCAGAAAAUUAAAAAAUGUUUCGAGAAGCGUAGGUGUCGUGUAUUGUUUUUCUUGUGUUUAUUCAGCAAACAUUCCCUGAGAGCCUUACCCAAUGCUGCUGGACGUGGGAGCAGAAAUAAGAUAAUGAGAACCCUCUUUCCCCCUACAUCGAAGACAGCAUGGGAUCUGGACUCUGACCCAGAUCCCAAGAGGUGUGCACUUGGGGCUGGGUUGGAAAUCAAGCCAGUGGGGUAGCUGUGUAGGCAGCUGGAGGACAGUCUUCCAGGGGGUUCUGGAAGGAAUGUUGUAAAUCUAUGUGGCGUCAGAGGCCCAGGUGGGAAGAAGCUGAAUCUGUGUGGGAGACCAUCAUGGAAAAAUGUCCUAAGCAGCAUUGCUGGAGGUGAUCUCCCUGGAAGUGGGGGCGGGAGGCGGGAGACAGGGGGAGGUCAGUGCUGAUCGCCGUGGCCGUGGCCUGUGCCCAGAGCUUCCGUGCCUUGCCCCUGCCCUCUUCUGUCCUCCCUAGAAAAACAACCUUGGAGUGGUGACAGGGAGGCCAGAAGAGCCAGGGGUGGGCUGGGGGAAUUUAUAGGAGCAUUUUAUUGGCUCUGGAAAGGGAUGUGGGUUUUGACAGUCAAAGGCCAAGAUCACUGAGAACCAGCGGACAAAUGGUGAACAUGCUGCUUCAAGAGAUCAUUUCGGAAAGUAGACUCCCCGCUUUGCUUAUAGUAAUGACGGGAUUGAAAAAUGGUGAUUCUGCACAGAAAAAACAAUCUAGAGUUCUUUUUCCAAGACCUUCAAGGCCCACAUUUCUAUGCAAGAUGGUACAUCCGUCAUUAUUCGCCAACUGAUCAAGAAUAGCCAUUGCCACAGUCCGUGGGUGGUCAGGUGGAUGGAGAUGGCACAGCCACCUCAGGACCUGCCUUCCCUGGGGACACAGUGAGGAUUUCUUCUUGUUAUGGUCCUAGUUUGGGGAUAUUCUGUGUGACUGCUUGUGUGCUGCUCGAAGCCGUGACCGGAAAUCGCUAGAGAGCGCCAGACCCCCCGCGGGUGGAGGCCAGCAUGUGCUCACACCGAUAUGUAACCACAGGAGUUCAUUUCCAGCCAUGAAGACCACUCCCCAAAGGUCCUGUUGCAGCUUAAAGGGUCAGGAAAAUAGGCCUCCCCAGAAAGGGCACUAAAACAAAGCAAACUCUUGUCUUUCUCUCCUACGAGGUGACAAGGGGGAUCAACAGGUGUAAAACACGACUGUCACAGCACCACGGAGAAGGCGCACGAGGAAGCGUCCUGAGGUGGACAACAGACAGGAGCAGGAGGAGGGAGGACUGUGGGGCGAGGUCCAGCCUGGUCAUCAGAGAACUAGCUCCCCGAGCUCCAGCAACCGAGAGAGCUCACUUCCCUCUGUGUCACUGUCAUCUACUCUCUGGUAAAGUACCACACGUUGUCCCAUUCUGUACUCACAGCAACCGUGUCACCCAUACUACUUUCUUUCCUUGUAUAUACAGGGGAUCAGAAAAUGCUAAUGGCGUCUCUCCCAACUUAGCACCCCUUGGAAUAAACUCCGCGAAGCAGAGGUACUCAUUCAAAGGAUCGGAUCCAGAGCUUGAGAGGUUUUUGUAAAUCAAGUUGUGUUCCCAGAACUGCUGAUUGUGGUUUCUUCUUCUGCAGGGUUUUGUUACUUUUAAUUCUCUUAUUAUCCCUUGUCACUGGACCUCUUAAUUUAUAAAUAGUAUUCUGAUACUGUGCCCUUUCACCCCAGGAGCCAUUCAUUGAUACCUGUGCUAUGGAUGCAGUUUCUCUCAGGGACGUUCACCCUAGGACCGUGCUUUUAUGCCACAUUUACAAUGGGGCUUUUUAAUCUUAUUGCCCGAGUGGAACGUUUCCUUCCCGCAUACGAUUACAUCUCUGCUGAUUCACAAGGAGCAAGGUUAUAUGUUCCUCAUGCAGCCCUUGGCCGAAGAAGACCUGCUUCCAGGCUAUGAAAGACAAGAUCAUGUUGGAGUGGCCAGGUCAGCUCAAGUUCUGACCUGAGGAUCAACCCUAGGAUCAGACCUAAGCUCCCACAGUCCAUACCCUUGAGACAAUCAGUCAUGAAGAAUCUGGUGGGGACCCCCCCCCACUUGGAAUUACUGCCCUCUGUAGAGUGACCUCGUUCACAGACCCCCCAGCCUCUCUCCAGAACCUCUCCUUCUUGGCGGAUGCUUUCUCAGCCAGUCAUUAUUUAUGUUUCAGAUAGCUUGAGAAGAAAACCACAAAUACAGCCAAGUUGAAUUGGCAACCAAAGCCUGAUCAUUCUUACUGUCAGGUCAUAUCCAGGAAUGUCUUAGCACCAAGGUAUCCAUUGUCAGUCCAAGAGAUAUAAUUGCCUGUCAUGGCAGUAACAAAUCCUGACACGGAUUCAUGCAAUGGCCAACAAAAGAGACAGUCCCUUGUGACGAGGUGCUGGUACUUCCACUCUGAUGAAGAGUCACGCAACUUCCACUCCGGUCUUGUCCUCUCCAGAGCCCAGAUUACCUAAGGCUACCCUUCAUUAAGGAUUGAGAACUGAAAUCUUCAGCCCAACCCUCCGCUACUCUUUUUGCCUUUCUUGUAAGCCCAGGACUGUAUCUCAUUGUUUGCUGUUCCCUCCUUAACUAGCAAAGUACCUGGAAGUUGAUGGAACAAAUGGAUUCCUGCCUCAGUUCCUAGGAAUGUACCAAGGCCAUUUGCAUUCAGCAGUCUUGCCCUGAGAUAGCGCUGUGGCUGGUUCCCCAGGACCAGGGCACAGAUAUUUCACAGUCAACAGCGGGGGGUUACCAGGGUUUCACACCAAGCCCUCCAUUGGAGGCAGACAUGAUGAGGAGACCAGCAAAGUGGCGGUCCUUCUGGCAGGAUGUGAAAACAAGAAGCGAACUGAUCAACACAAUUUUGCUUGGAAAGCAAAGCAUGUGCAGUAAUACGCACACCUGGGCGCAGCUGUCUUAAUGUGGCAGGGAUGCACAACAAACCGGGCAUCAUUUGGAGGGAGGGUAAUGAGGGACCAAGAGCAAGAAAACAAAGGAUGACUGCGCUCCGCGAAGGUCUCGACUCCCUUCUAAUUAGGCACAGUUGUUCUACAAAGUACGUAAUUAAUAAGCGUGUGACCAGAUGCAAAGUACAGCGGCGGCUCUUCCGGCGCUGGACGUGGUGAUGAAGUGUGCACAGCUGGAGGUAGUUGUUCUAAUUUGGCGGAGGCAGAAGGCCCGCCUGGAGUUUUGAGGAGGUGCAGCGAGAGCCGUACACCUGAAAGCAGCUCAUCCUAUUCCGACUGGGCCGGGGUGUAAUGAGAUGGAGCUAAUUAUCAGGAGUGUAAUGAGAUGCCAAAGCCCCUGGAGUUGAGCUGGAAAUUUCAAAGUGAGCUAAGCUGCAAACCCAAGAGAAGAAUUUCCACCGAUGGAGCCGGGUGUGAGUAGGAGGAAGUGUGCCUGAUUGAAAGACCUGCCUUCACGCCCCUGAGCCGAAGACUUCUGUCUGAAACUGCACAGGAUGCCAGGACCUUCCCCCACCUGGAGCAGGAGUCCCUGGGAACCUGAGAACACCAUGACCUGGAAAAGCUGCACAUGGAUUUCUUUUAAUGUGUAUAUGGUUUAUUUAUGUCCACACAACUGAAAAGAAAUCAAGUCAGGUGCUGUCGCGUGAGUGUCGUGGCCAUUAUAUUCCAUCUCAUUUAGAAAUGUGGCCUCAGAUUGCUGACUUUGCAAAUAGAUACUCCAGGAGGAGAAAAAUUAGCAACCUCCUCAUCUCAAACUUCUUUCAUUACCUACCAGCCACAUUUUCUUUCACGAGGAUUUAUUUACCGCCAGAGAGCAGGAAACCCCUUAAUACCUGUUUUCUGUUCACGGUUUUUAUUUUACAGUUGCUGUUAUUUUAGACACCAUUUAUUGAACACUGAAUAUGUGUGAGAUGCUGUGCUAAAUGCUUUACCAUAGACUUCCAUUUAAUCCACAUGCUGGAGUUCCUCCCAUGGCUCAGCAGUUAACGAAUCUGACUAGCAUCCAUGAGGACCCAGGUUCGAUCCCUGCCCUUGCUCCAUGGGUUAAGGAUCUGGCGUGGCCGUGAGCUGUGGUGUGGGUGACAGCCUCUGUGCGGAUCCUGCAUUACUGUGGCUGUGGCAUAGUCCGACAGCUGUAGCUCCCAUUCAACCCCUAGCCUGGAACCUCCGC